ACUCUCGGAAGCGUCUCUGACAGCGGACGGAUUUUCUCCUCGCGCGAAGAAAAAUGUGUUUUGACAGGUUGGGCGGGGCCAAAGCCCUCUUCUGUAAGUCUCCUCCUGAUUGGGCAGACACGAUCACACGGGAAGUACUGUCUGGAAUUUUCUGACUGAAAAGUUACAUCUGGAGGCGGGAAAGUGACGGAGGCUUCUUAGUUUGGACUACGUCGGUAUUGACAUUCACCCCUCAACAAUAAGCAAUGGAUAGCGAUACGUCAGCAACAUUUGAGGAUUUGCAUGGCAUUCUCAGACAUGAAAUUUUCUCCAGGCUGAUUUCCAAACUGGAAUUGGCACUCAUAAGAACACCUCUGGACUUAGACUUUCUAGAAUUCACAUGUCGACAAGAGCUUUACCUGUUUGAAGCACUGUCAAGGCAUGUUAGUAUCCCUGUUAUAAUUGUACAGGCCUUUGAGGACUUUUUUAGGCUGGUGAUGCGGCAUAGUACAGAUACUGCCAGUAGCGCUGUUGAAACUGUUGCUGGGGUGAUAGGACGUCCCAGGUAUGAUAUAGAUCAAGAAAAACUGUCUGAACUUUUGGAAAUAAAUCUACCUGUGGCCUGCAUCGCAACAUUACUUGGUGUUUCAACCAGUACAAUAAACAGAAGGAUGAGGGAAUUUGGUGUCUCUGUCAGACAGACGUACAGCACUAUUACAGAUGAAGAGCUUGAUAACGCAGUCAUAAACAUCAAAAAUGAAAUGCCAACUUUUGGAUAUCGGAUGGUAAAAGGGAGGCUGAGGGCUUUAGGAAUCCACGUCCCAUGGCGGAGAAUGACUGCAUCGAUGCAUAGAGUUGACUCAUUGGGAAUUCUUUCGAGGCUGACAGGACUGGGCUGCAUUGUGCGAAUAACUUACUCUGUAAAGGGACCUCUUUCACUUUGGCAUGUGGACACUAAUCACAAAUUGAUCAGGUACAACAUUGUUCUCUUUGGUGCAGUGGAAGGCUACUCCAGGAAGGUAAACAUUAAAGAGUCUGGCAUUUUGCUUUUAGGUGCAUGUUCACUAGGUGCAUUUUUGGCAUGAAAGUUUACUGAUAAGAUGACAUCCGUUAUAAAAUCUUUUACAGAUUACAUUUUCAGUCCGAACAAUACUGUCUGAUCAGCUGCUAGUCUUCAAACAAAACAGACAAACUGACCUUCUGCUUCUAUAACAUCUGCACACAUCUCUUUGGCCUUUGUUCAUCCUCUACAGACAGCCCCAUACCACUUUGCAAGACAAGGCAAAUUUAUUCGUAUAGCACAUUUCAGUACAAGGACAACUCAAAGUGCUUU
Long non-coding RNA from Fundulus heteroclitus (mummichog), 1312 nucleotides. RefSeq lists it as uncharacterized. Lineage: Eukaryota; Metazoa; Chordata; Actinopteri; Cyprinodontiformes; Fundulidae. The record is from RefSeq and is a predicted model, not a curated record. The transcript is spliced from 4 exons.